CUUUUAUUUCUGUUCUUUAGAGAUUCUUUGUAUGAUCACUUACCCUGUGAUUAAAUAUACUACAAUUUGAUCUUUAUCAACAUCUAGGAUUAGUUUCACUAAAAUAAAUAAGACUUUAUUUUCCUCCCUUAUUCCUCUCACCAUGUUGAAGUCAUCUAGAAUUUCUGACUGGGGCAGUCACCACGGGCCACUGGGGGCUACUGAGCCCUGGAAACAAGCCUUACCUGGAUGGAGAAGUACUGUAGGUGUCAGAUACACAGCACAUUUCAAAGAUGCAGGCCAAAAUAAUUCAUCAACAAUAUCUUAAUAUUAAUUACAUCUUGAAAUGGCAAUAUUUUAGAUAUACUGCUUUAGAUACAUAAAUAUAUUGUCAAAUCCAUUCCACAUUUUGCCCUUUCUGAAUGUGACUACUAGAAAACUCAAAAUUACAGAUGUGGCCCAUGUUAUUUUUCCACUAGAUUUCUAUUGGACAUUGUUGCUAUAGGAUUUUAGUCCUGAAUUAUAAUUUUUCAACAAUGGUGACUGCAGCCAUGAAAUUAAAAGACACUCCUUGGAAGGAAAGUUAUGACCAACCUAGAUAGCAUAUUCAAAAGCAGAGACAUUACUUUGCUAACAAAGGUUCAUCUAGUCAAGGCUUUGGUUUUUCCUGUGGUCAUGUACGGAUGUGAGAGUUGGACUGUGAAGAAGGCUGAGAGCCAAAUAAUUGAUGCUUUUGAACUGUGGUGUUGGAGAAGACUCUUGAGAGUCCCUUGGACUGCAAGGAGAUCCAAGCAGUCCAUUUGAAGGAGAUCAGCCCUGGGAUUUCUUUGGAAGGAAUGAUGCUAAAGCUGAAACUCCAGUACUUUGGCCACCUCAUGUGAAGAGUUGACUCAUUGGAAAAGACUCUGAUGCUGGGAGGGAUUGGGGGCAAGAGGAGAAGGGGACGACAGAGGAUGAGAUGGCUGGAUGGCAUCACGGACUUGAUGGACGUGAGUCUGGGUGAACUCCGGGAGUUGGUGAUGGACAGGGAGGCCUGGCGUGCUGCGAUUCAUGGGGUCACAAAGAGUCGGACAUGACUGAGUGACUGAACUGAACUGAAACCAGUUUUUCUCCUUAUUUUUUCCCCUUUUGUCUCUCUGAUUCAUUGAUUCACUGUUCAGCCCUCGAAUUAUACUGUCUAGUGGGUAUAGAAUUCUAGAAUUCAAACUCAAUUUUAGAGCUCAAUUGCUGUAUUGUCUUCAAUUCCUGGCUCCAUUUGUAGACAGGCUAUUUUUGUUCUUCUUCUUCUUCUAGAAGAUUUUAGGAAUGACUGUUCACUCUGUGUACUCUGGUUUCACAAAAGGUAGAGGGGUUUCCAUGCCUUGCAUUUCAUUCUCAGGAAACUCUGAAACACGGUCUUGUGUGUGUGUGUGUCUUUUAGGCUCUGGAAAAACUUCUUGCACUAUUUCUCUUCCAUUCUUGUGCCUUCUGUAAGGCAAUGUCUAUUCUUUAAUUCACAUCUCCUCCUGAAAGGGAUUUGUAUCUUUUAGAUCUGUUUUCCACCUUUAAACUUUCUUUUAUACCUUCUUCUCUUCAUUCUUGUGUGUAAGUCAUUGAUUUGUGAGUUUUUCAGGUUGUUUCUUUUUGUGUGUGUGCAUCUGUUUCUCUAUUCAGUGCACACACUGUAGAGAAGAACUGGAUUCUCAUUUCCAAGGUCUAUCCGGUCCUUUUCCAUCCCAGCACACUCUUGUGUCACAGAAGAUAUCUUCUCAUCUGUCCUGUGAGGAUUUUCAUUCUCCUUCUUGUAAAUGGUGACUGCAGCCAUGAAAUUAAAAGACACUUACUCCUCAGAAGAAAAGUUAUGACCAAUCUAGACAGCAUAUUAAAAAGCAGAGACAUUAUUUUGCCAACAAAGGUCCGUCUAGUCAAAGUUAUGGUUUUUGCAGUGGUCAUGUAUGGAUGUGAGAGUUAGACUGUGAAGAAAACUGAGCGCCAAAGAAUUGAUGCCUUUGAACUGUGGUGUUGGAGAAGACUCUUAAGAGUCCCUGGGACUGCAAGGAGAUCCAACCAGUCCAUCCCAAAGGAAAUCAGUCUUGAAUAUUCCUUGGAAAGACUGAUGCUGAAGCUGAAACUCCAAUACUCUGGCCACCUGAUGCGAAGAACUGACUCAUUUGAAAAGGCCCUGAUGCUGGGAAAGAUUGAAGGCACGAGGAGAAGGGGAUGACAGAGGAUGAGAUGGUUGGAUGGUAUCACUGACUCAAUGGACAUGAGUCUGAGUAAACUCUGGGAGUUGGUAAUGGAUGGGGAGACCUGGCGUGCUGCAGUCCAUGGGGUCGCAAAGAGUCAGACACAACUGAGAGACUAAACUGAACUGACUCUUGUAAAUGAACCAAGUUUUAGUUACAUCUUCUUUCUGCUGAGUUGAGUGUCUUGUGAGAAGAGAUGGAAACCACCAUGACUGUCAAGAUGUUGCUCUUUGCACAUUAUGACCCAGAGCACAAACGCUCACACAGCUUCACCAGCUUGUUCCAGUGUGAACGCUCAACUUGGGGUGCUGGUCCGGUCCUGUGCAUUCACAGCACACCCGGGGCUCACGUGUUCUAUAGCACAGGACCAACCCAGAAAGGAUACGCAGUAAGAAUUUACUGACACUGAAUCUGGAAGAUUUGACAUUCUCUGCCCUUCUUUCAGUCUGGAAUAAGGAGCAGUAGGCAUUUGCCAAUUUGAGUGGUCCUCCCUGAGACUGCUGAGUAGUUUGGCAUUGUGGGAAUUUGUUUCACACUAUUCUGAGUGUGCAAUCCAACCCUAAACCCUCUCACUACAGUUCCAUCCCAUUGCUAUUACUUGAAAUAAAGGGCAAGUGUGUAUGCGGGUGUGCUAAGUCAUUUCAGUUGUGUCCGACUCUGCAUGACCUCACUGACUGUAGCCCGCCAGGCUCCACUGUCCAUGGGAAUCUCCAGGCAAGAAUACUGGAGUGGAUUGUCACACCCUCCUCAAGAGGAUCUUCCUGACCCAGGGAUAGAACCCAUGUCUCUUACAUCUCCUGCAUUGGCAGGAGAGAUUCACAAGCUGCUAUGAAAGUGAUGGCUACAGGUGUCUAAAUCUGAUUGAGGAGAGAAUGUCUUGAAUGAGAAUUCCAGUGACAGAGACUUGGAUUAAACUGCAUGUUUUUAAAUGAAUGAAGAAGAAUUCCUUGGACUACAGGGAGAUUAAAAAUAGCUGAGCACUGAAGAAUUGAUGCUUUUGAACUGUGGUACUGGAGAAGACUCCUGAGAGUCCCUUGGACUGCAAGGAGAUCCACCCAGUCCAUCCUAAAGGAGAUCAGUCCUGAAUAUUCACUGGAAGGACUGAUGCUGAAGCUGAAGCUCCAGUACUUUAGCCACCUGAUGUGAAGAGCUGACUCAUUAGAAAAGACCCCAAUGUUGGGAAAGGUUGAAGACAGAAGGAGAAGGGGAUGACAGAAGACCAGAUGGUUGGAUGGCAUCACCGACUCAAUGGACAUGAGUUUGAGCAAGCACCAGGAGAUGGUGAAGGACAGAGAAACCUGGCGUGCUGCAGUCCAUGGGAUCCACGGAGAAUCAGACAAGACUGAGCAACUGAACAAAAAUUAAACUCAAAUCUUGCCCGUCAACAGCUGACUUUGAACCCACAUAUUAAGAAACUUCAAAAAAGUAUUGUUCUACAUAUAAAUCCCUCUUUUUAAAACUUUUGCAACUUUUGAUGAGAGUUUUCCCCCUUCUUAAAAAAGAAACUCACCUUUGUUGAGUAUUUACUCUCUACCAAAAGUUGCAACAUUUUCCAAGUGAGAAAAGAACAUGCUGUCAUGAUCUGAUCAGUGACACUGUUACUGCUAUUCAGGUGCUGCCAGGUUCCCGGCAUCAUGUGAACCCAUGACCCAAACAUACCAUCUGUGGGACACCACUUCACAUCCCUGACAUCUUGCCACAGUGAUUUUUUUUUUUUUUUUUACUGUUUUUACCAUAACAUUGUUGACUCCCAGGAAUGAUUUACUUGUUAUGAGAAUUUUCCAGUAAAUGGUAAUAAGACGCCACGAUCUAACAAAAUUAGAAUAUUACAACAAUUUUGACAAUGGAAGUAAAGAAAUUGUUUUUAACUUAAGGAAUUAUCAUAAUCAAAUGACAGUGUCAAUCUAGCACCUAAAAUAGCCAGUGACUCUAAACAAAGAUUAGGCAAGUAAUGAACUCACGGGUGAGGACUUGCACAUGUAAAAUUUUUUUUUAAAUCCUUAUUGUGAAUGGCACAGUGCCAGUAUAUAAUAUACUUUAUUGACAUUCAAAUCAUCUGUUGUUUUUUAAAGUACUAAGGUGAAAUUGCUGGGUCCCCAGUUUAAAUUGAAUUACCUUCAUUACAACAUGAAUCAUGUAACAAUGGAU
This is a long non-coding RNA of Bos taurus (domestic cattle), 4352 nucleotides long. Lineage: Eukaryota; Metazoa; Chordata; Mammalia; Artiodactyla; Bovidae. The record is from Ensembl.